This 509-nucleotide ribosomal RNA is filed under the name Cymbium pepo. RNAcentral's name for it is "partial 16S ribosomal RNA". It matches the Rfam family "Bacterial large subunit ribosomal RNA", at positions 1817 to 2598 of the family's 2925-position model. Lineage: Eukaryota; Metazoa; Mollusca; Gastropoda; Neogastropoda; Volutidae. The record is from RNAcentral.
GGCUCUUUGUAAUACAUUUAAAUAAGGAGUCGUACCUGCCCGGUGAUGUUUUAACGGCCGCAGUACUUUGACUGUGCAAAGGUAGCAUAAUCACUUGCCUUAUAAUUGAAGGCUAGAAUGAAUGGUUUGACAAGAAUACAACUGUCUCUAUGUGAUUUUAUAGAAUUUGAUUUUCAGGUGAAGAAGCCUGAAUUUAAUUGAAAGACGAGAAGACCCUAUCGAGCUUUAAAAAAGUUGGUAAAAGUAAUAUAAACAAUUUGAAAUUAAUUUUGCUAAAAAUUUUGGUUGGGGCGACAAAGGAAUCUAAGAAGCUUCCUUUAAUUGAAAAUUAUUGACAAAUAAUGAUCCAGAAAUUACUGAUUAAAGGAUAUAGUUACCGUAGGGAUAACAGCAUAAUUCUUUUUAAGAGACCAUAUCGAAAAAGGAGUUUGUGACCUCGAUGUUGGACCAAAAUAUCCUAAAGAUGUAGCAGUCUUUAAAGGUUGGUCUGUUCGACCAUUAAAAUUUUA